AUACCUUUGUGGGGACAUUGUCUAAGAAACUCUUUAACUCUUUCCCAAGCAUUAAAUAAGGAUUCAUCAUCUAGUUGUCUAAAUGAAGUGAUCUCGUUUCUCAUCUU
Small nucleolar RNA from Vicia villosa (hairy vetch), 107 nucleotides. The record is from RefSeq and is a predicted model, not a curated record. NCBI's taxonomy places the organism in Eukaryota, Viridiplantae, Streptophyta, Magnoliopsida, Fabales, Fabaceae.